RNAcentral lists this ribosomal RNA (492 nucleotides) under uncultured bacterium. RNAcentral describes it as "partial 16S ribosomal RNA". It matches the Rfam family "Bacterial small subunit ribosomal RNA", at positions 29 to 507 of the family's 1533-position model. The record is from RNAcentral.
AGUGAACGCUGGCGGUAGGCCUAACACAUGCAAGUCGAACGGCAGCACAGUAAGAGCUUGCUCUUACGGGUGGCGAGUGGCGGACGGGUGAGGAAUACAUCGGAAUCUACUUUUUCGUGGGGGAUAACGUAGGGAAACUUACGCUAAUACCGCAUACGACCUACGGUUGAAAGCAGGGGAUCUUCGGACCUUGCGCGAUUGAAUGAGCCGAUGUCGGAUUAGCUAGUUGGCGGGGUAAAGGCCCACCAAGGCGACGAUCCGUAGCUGGUCUGAGAGGAUGAUCAGCCACACUGGAACUGAAACACGGUCCAGACGCCUAAGGGAGGCAGCAGUGGGGAAUAUUGGACAAUGGGCGCAAGCCUGAUCCAACCAUACCGCGUGGGUGAAGAAGGCCUUCGGGUUGUAAAGCCCUUUUGUUGGGAAAGAAAAGCAGCAGGUUAAUACCCAGCUGUUCUGACGGUACCCAAAGAAUAAGCACCGGCUAACUUCGUG